CCGCGACGAUGUGGCCCUGGAAGGAGUGGGUCACUUUUUUCGCGAAUUGGUCAAGGAGAAGCCAUCUCAAGAUAAGUGGGGUAAAACCCAGGACGCUAUGGAAGCAGCCCUUCUCGUAGAGAAGAACCUGAA
Molecule: long non-coding RNA, 132 nt
Filed under: Capra hircus (goat)
Lineage: Eukaryota; Metazoa; Chordata; Mammalia; Artiodactyla; Bovidae
Description: lncRNA (ENSCHIG00010000854.1)
Source: RNAcentral